RNAcentral lists this long non-coding RNA (230 nucleotides) under Pelobates cultripes (western spadefoot toad). Lineage: Eukaryota; Metazoa; Chordata; Amphibia; Anura; Pelobatidae. The record is from RNAcentral.
GCCUCCAUGGGCCGGUGGGGAGAUCAAAGUUCUACCUCACCGGUCCACAGCAGCAUGGAGGGAGGCAGCAGAGAACCCGGGCUAGCGUUCACUCUCUACUGAACCACCAGGGAAGGCAGCAGGACUGGGAUAUUAACUAGUCUGCCCCCACCUCCACCCAAACAUACAGCACACACAGCCCACAAACAGCACCCACACACACACACAGCACCUACACACAUACAUCACCC